This 149-nucleotide non-coding RNA is filed under the name Aggregatibacter actinomycetemcomitans. RNAcentral describes it as "Glycine sequence". It matches the Rfam family "Glycine riboswitch aptamer". Rfam says of the family: This family represents the bacterial glycine riboswitch. Glycine riboswitches usually consist of two metabolite-binding aptamers domains with similar structures in tandem. Lineage: Bacteria; Pseudomonadati; Pseudomonadota; Gammaproteobacteria; Pasteurellales; Pasteurellaceae. The record is from RNAcentral.
GGACGAACCCUUGGAGAGAUCCAAGGUACUUUUAAAGCGUUUACUUUCAAGGUAACGACUUUUUAAGUGCUAAUGGACGCCGAAGGCGCAAAGAAGCUUGAUUCCAUCAGGCUUUUCAAACGCUCAGGCAAAAGGACAGGGGCAGGAGA